GCUUUGAUAGCUCAACUGGUAGAGCGGUGGCGCGAAGUACCACAGGUAAUAGGUUCGACUCCUAUUCGAAGCA
RNAcentral lists this transfer RNA (73 nucleotides) under Companilactobacillus zhachilii. RNAcentral's name for it is "tRNA-OTHER". It matches the Rfam family "tRNA". From Rfam's summary of the family: Transfer RNA (tRNA) molecules are approximately 80 nucleotides in length. Their secondary structure includes four short double-helical elements and three loops (D, anti-codon, and T loops). Further hydrogen bonds mediate the characteristic L-shaped molecular structure. tRNAs have two regions of fundamental functional importance: the anti-codon, which is responsible for specific mRNA codon recognition, and the 3' end, to which the tRNAs corresponding amino acid is attached (by aminoacyl-tRNA synthetases). tRNAs cope with the degeneracy of the genetic code in two manners: having more than one tRNA (with a specific anti-codon) for a particular amino acid; and 'wobble' base-pairing, i.e. permitting non-standard base-pairing at the 3rd anti-codon position. The record is from RNAcentral. Lineage: Bacteria; Bacillati; Bacillota; Bacilli; Lactobacillales; Lactobacillaceae.